This 333-nucleotide unclassified non-coding RNA is filed under the name uncultured Glomeraceae. Its description in RNAcentral is "sequence contains 18S rRNA gene". Lineage: Eukaryota; Fungi; Glomeromycota; Glomeromycetes; Glomerales; Glomeraceae. The record is from RNAcentral.
CCCAACUAUCCCUAUUAAUCAUUACGUUGAUCCUAAAAACCAACAAAAUAGGUUCGAACGUCCUAUUUCAUUAUUCCAUGCUAAUGUAUUCAAGCUAAUGCCUGCUUUAAACACUCUAAUUUUUUCAAAGUAACAGUCCUGAUUUCCCAUAACACCAAAUUAAUGACAUCAUGGUUCGUCAGAAGGGAGAAAUCGAUGACGACAGUACGUACCGAAGGCACGACCGACGUAUCGAUCCCGAAAUUCAACUACGAGCUUUUUAACUGCAACAACUUUAAUAUACGCUAUUGGAGCUGGAAUUACCGCGGCUGCUGGCACCAGACUUGCCCUCCA